GACAGAUCCGUCUGAACUUGUUUAGUAACAUUAGCCAGCGCAGUAAUUGAGUCAACGACUUCGGCAGUUUGCGUGAACGGAUCGUAGCAGACUUCGUAAGGUCGACGUAUGUUCUCGGCUACCCAACCGCUAUUUUUUCAAAAACAUAUUUCAAUGUUACAAACCGGAACUUUUGAAGGGCAUCUUCCAGACUCUCUGCUACGAAAUAGACAUCCUGAUAAUCCUGAUCCUGAUAGGGUUGAACAGCGCAGACGGUCGGAUCGAAAGCCAGUAAACUAGGUUUCCCGGAUAGGGCAUGCUUAAGUUCUCCGUAACUUGAAAGCAAACCAGCUCCGUAUGCCUUGAGUUCCCCAUUUUGUUUGCAGAGCCCGAACUCGACCGUGAACCAAUACAUCUGCGUCGUAAACAAAAAUAAAUUCAUAGGAGCGUGUUGUUGUUUAUGUAUCGAAUCGCAAUAUUAUAUGGGUUUAAAAAACCAAAACAAAGUACUACCGUCGAGAAUUUUUCAAUGUCACUGUCGCUUGCCCCUAGCGAGGCUAAACCCAAUUCUUGGGAAAAUUGGGCAAAAUUUCUGUCAGCCAGGAUUGGAACAUGUCCCAACAGCUCGUGAAUUGAGUCCCUAUUUCAAACAAUUUUAAAAGUAUGUUAUUACAUAAAUUUGUUGUUUUAUUUUUUUCUGUUGUUAUAGGCUUACGGUUCCGGAGAGUGAUAGGGAGAGGAAGAAUGUCGAACGUAUCUGGUUUUAAAUAAAGAAAUGAUUAUUAGAAUUGAGUUUUGACAAUUUUUAUGUAGGCUCUCGUUAAAACAACAUACUGGGUGCAUUGAAAUACGCGAUAAGCCAAGCUUGCAAGAAAAUCGCGAGCCGUCAACAAACCAGCUGCCGGACGAAGAGAAAAGCCAGUCCUUCCUGCAUUUUUAUGAAAAUUUAAAUGCAUUUGUAGUUAGUAUUUUAAAAUUUAUUACUUUUAAGAAAGUUGGAAAUGUCCUCUAGUUGCGGAAUGUUGUCUGCCGCGUAUCCGCAUUCCUUUUCCAAUAGAGUAAGAGCUUCCAAAUGCUGGCGACACGCGUGUUUCGGCAAAAGUGACAUCAGUUCUGUGUAAACAGCUUUCCAAGUGGUUUUGUCUUCGAGCGAAUAUUCAACGCGUGGAAUAGGCUCUCCGCUAUCGAAAAAUACCAAUCCAAACUGAAAUUCUUAAUCACACAAAUACUAGUCGAAAAUCAACAAUAGAAUACUGUUUAUAAUUGAAAGCAAUAUUAGCAAUAUCUUGACGCCGUUUUCGAUAGACAACGUCAGUAAAGCCAGGAUGGCCUUGGUCUAGAUCUGGUUCGUAACGUGUCACCAAAUGAUUGCAUAAAUCCAAUUCGGAAAUAUGCUUUGGAAACCAAAUUUCUAUUUAUCAAAUAAGAAUUACUUAUUUACAUUUUUCAUUUUUUUUUUGUCUUCUCGAUGGCCGAAAUAGAGCAGCAUUCGUCUUACCUGGUAUGUCUCCGACAAAGUUGGUUGCACUGGCGACCGUCACACGGCUAAGUGAUGUACUUUGCUUCAUUAACUUGAGCAGUGAUACAAGAUUGUCGCGAGCGAUAUCUAGCUUCAAAAUCACUUCGAAUUGGGGCUCCUCUUUGUUGUGUGAUGGACGCGAUUCUACGUGCAACAGCGUCCCCUUGCAAUGCUGAUUUAAACGAGUAAAUUGUUUCACACAUGAAUCAAAAUUUUAUGAAACAAGAGGGUUUACCUGGAUUGUUUUGAAUGUUCGAGACAGCGUUACCAGUUCUUCGCGCAUACGGAUAAUUAUCGCCACCAAAAGUCUUCCAUUUUCUCCGACAGUAAAAGCGUCUUCCGGUAAAACGAGUUCCUCCUGCGACGUCGAAUUUUCUGUGCUUGCAAUAAAAUUUUUUUGGGGGAAUCCGUUUGGAAUUUAUCGGAUGAUUAUUUUUGAACUUACCGCGAGAGAGUGAAUUUUCGUGAAGUAAAUUUUCUCGAUUCUGUCUGUUCACUUUUGUUUCGAAACGUGCGUCGUCCACCAGAGACCGACGUCUUCCGGCAUAUCCGUUCUAUGGCCAUUAAUGACGCAUAUAUACGUUUAGUUAAUUUGUUGGCAAGAUCACAUUGGAAAAUUGGACAUACACGAUAGCAUAUCCUAA
Molecule: long non-coding RNA, 2142 nt
Filed under: Daphnia magna
Lineage: Eukaryota; Metazoa; Arthropoda; Branchiopoda; Diplostraca; Daphniidae
Description: uncharacterized LOC116920597
Source: RNAcentral